This 253-nucleotide ribosomal RNA is filed under the name uncultured bacterium. RNAcentral describes it as "partial 16S ribosomal RNA". It matches the Rfam family "Bacterial small subunit ribosomal RNA", at positions 524 to 776 of the family's 1533-position model. The record is from RNAcentral.
UACGAGGGGGGCGAGCGUUGUUCGGAAUUAUUGGGCGUAAAGGGUGCGUAGGCGGUUUGGUAAGUCUGAUGUGAAAUCUAUGGGCUCAACUCAUAGUCUGCAUCGGAAACUGCCGGGCUUGAGUGUGGGAGAGGUGAGUGGAAUCCCUGGUGUAGCGGUGAAAUGCGUAGAUAUCAGGAGGAACACCUGUGGCGAAAGCGGCUCACUGGACCAUAACUGACGCUGAUGCACGAAAGCUAGGGGAGCAAACAGG